RNAcentral lists this ribosomal RNA (335 nucleotides) under uncultured bacterium. RNAcentral describes it as "partial 16S ribosomal RNA". It matches the Rfam family "Bacterial small subunit ribosomal RNA", at positions 338 to 690 of the family's 1533-position model. The record is from RNAcentral.
CCUACGGGCGACAGCAGUGGGGAAUAUUGCACAAUGGGGGAAACCCUGAUGCAGCGACGCCGCGUGAGUGAAGAAGUUAUUCGUUAUGUAAAGCUCUAUCAGUAGGGAAGAAAAUGAGGGUACGUGAGUAAGAAGGCCCGGACAACUACGUGCCAGCAGGCGCGGUAAUACGUAGGGGGCAAGCGUUUUCCGGAUUUACUGGGUGUAAAGGGAGCGUAGACGGUGGUGCAAGUCUGGAGGGAAAGGCGGGGGCUCAAACCCCGGACUGGUCUGGAAACUGUACGGCUGGGGUGCAGGAGAGGUAAGUGGGAUUCCCAGGGUAGCGGUGAAAUGCG